RNAcentral lists this ribosomal RNA (501 nucleotides) under uncultured bacterium. RNAcentral describes it as "partial 16S ribosomal RNA". It matches the Rfam family "Bacterial small subunit ribosomal RNA", at positions 30 to 523 of the family's 1533-position model. The record is from RNAcentral.
AUUGAACGCUGGCGGCAGGCUUAACACAUGCAAGUCGAGCGGGGAAAUAUAGCUUGCUAUAUGACCUAGCGGCGGACGGGUGAGUAAUGCUUAGGAAUCUGCCUAUUAGUGGGGGACAACAUUUCGAAAGGGAUGCUAAUACCGCAUACGCCCUACGGGGGAAAGCAGGGGAUCAGUUGACCUUGCGCUAAUAGAUGAGCCUAAGUCGGAUUAGCUAGUUGGUGGGGUAAAGGCCUACCAAGGCGACGAGCUGGAGCGGGUCUGAGAGGAUGAUCCGCCACACUGGGACUGAGACACGGCCCAGACUCCUACGGGAGGCAGCAGUGGGGAAUAUUGGACAAUGGGGGGAACCCUGAUCCAGCCAUGCCGCGUGUGUGAAGAAGGCCUUUUGGUUGUAAAGCACUUUAAGCGAGGAGGAGGCUCCUGUAGAUAAUACCUACAGUGAGUGGACGUUACUCGCAGAAUAAGCACCGGCUAACUCUGUGCCAGCCGCCGCGGUAA